UACGGAGGGAGCUAGCGUUGUUCGGAAUUACUGGGCGUAAAGCGCGCGUAGGCGGCUUUGUAAGUUAGAGGUGAAAGCCCGGAGCUCAACUCCGGAACUGCCUUUAAAACUGCAUCGCUUGAAUCCAGGAGAGGUGAGUGGAAUUCCGAGUGUAGAGGUGAAAUUCGUAGAUAUUCGGAAGAACACCAGUGGCGAAGGCGGCUCACUGGACUGGUAUUGACGCUGAGGUGCGAAAGCGUGGGGAUCAAACAGG
This 253-nucleotide ribosomal RNA is filed under the name uncultured bacterium. RNAcentral describes it as "partial 16S ribosomal RNA". It matches the Rfam family "Bacterial small subunit ribosomal RNA", at positions 524 to 776 of the family's 1533-position model. The record is from RNAcentral.